CCGCGGCUAAUUGGGGCGCGUGCCACCGCCGCCGGGGCGCGGUCCGGGGCCUGCGUCUGCAUCUGCGCAGGGACGUGGGCUCCGGCACUCACGCGGGCCUGGACUGCGGACUUAGACUGGACCUCACCUUGGACUGGGACCUGGACCCUGCUCCGGCCUUCGGCGAAGAAAGACACUUGCUUAAAUGCGACAGACACCGGACCUCGGACCCCAGUCCAGACGCGGACUCGAGCCCUGGACCCGAACCCGGACCUGGACCUGGACCUGGACGCGGACCUCAGAGCCGCUCCCGCCUGGCCCUGGCCCAGGCUUCUGACUCCGUCCCGGACCCCAGAACCCCAGGCGCCCGACCUGUCCGCGCCUGGAGCUGACUCCUGCCAGCGCGGGCCGGGACCCCCGCUCGGACGCGGUCUGGACCCACUCCCAGCCCCAAGCGCACCCAGGUCAUACUCCGGGCCUCGGUCGGACCUGGCGCGUGCGGAUGCAGCCCGCGGCCCUCGCUGCAGCUUGGGGGUUACCUGUAGGAGGCGCGUCGAGGCGGGCUACCGCUGCCCUCCCCCCGGCUGGCUCCCGCGGCCACCUGGGGGCCUGCCACCUGGAGGGAGGGUCCAGGCCCUGGAACGCUCCCCGCAGAGCUCUUAAGGGCCUCAGCGGGAUGUGGAGAGGUCCUCCGUCGUCGGUUUUCGUUUUCUGCUCCUCUUCCUACUUGGAAGGCUCUGUCAGUUGCUUCAUGAAAGAAAAUGCAGAAUCCCCCGAGGAGGGAAAGAGCACCCCCAGGCCCUUCUGCACGGCCUCAACCCGCUUUCUUCCUCCACAUCGCCCCACCUUUCCAGCUCAGGAUGCGAGUGCAGUGGCAUUCCUUACCAGUGUCCUGAGGUCUCUGUUUCCCCUCAAUGUUGUAAUUUUUAUUCCGAGACGCUUUUGAGACUUAGUUCCUUGUGAUUUAAGAAAAUGGUUUCUGUUGUUUUAAAAACACCUUUUCUCUCGUAAUUAGGUGCAAAAGAGAAACCAGAAAAGGACUCCUGGAAGCCCUGGCCUUUGAAGAUUGACUGAGUGGUCCCCAGGCCUUGGCAUCGCUGGGCAAUAGCCCUCUGGCCUUAGUCUCCGUUAGUCCGAACUUUUGUUCUCCAGAUGUGACUACAGCUUAGGCUUUGCCAGGAAGACUUUGAAAUGAGAAUUUGUUUCUGAGCUUGUUGAUCGUGGGGCAGAAUUUGGUUUCAAGAAAGCUCGGUGUUCCCGAGCUGCUGGGGCCUGCCUUGUGAGGGUGGCACUGGGUGAGAAUCCUGCCUUGUACCAGGAGCAGGGCGAGGCAGGGGCAUUGGUGACUUUGCCUGUGUGUUGCGCAAAUCUGUGCCUGUGGAAGGAGCGUCCACGGAGGAGAGCCUUGUGAUUCCCGUUUCCCUAGACAGCUUCCCAGAUAACCCGCUCCUUUUUGUCGGUCUUCCCUCAUUUCUACCUCGUCUUUCUCUUUCCCAAGGAGCGAUUAUUCCAUCUACUAGUGUAAGUUUGCCUCUGUGGGAUGCUGAGGUCCAUGCCCGGACCUCUGAAGGAGAAAGCUGGCUCAAGGAGCCGGUCAGCAGCUGCUCUUGCUGACCUGACACCUUGACUUUCCCCACCAGUCUCACCGCCUGCUGAGUCUGGACCUUUACACUGAGGCUGUGGGGCAGGUGCCUACCAGAGUCACAGAGCCCGGGUGGGGCUCAGGUGGGGUCCAGAACCCCCUGGCUGCUUGACCAGGGAGGUUGCAGUUGCAGGGCACUGGCCCCUGGCACACAAAGGCAGUGGAUGGCACAUAUUCGGAUCCUGCAGCUCAGGCCAGGCAGCUUUGUGACAAGAACUCUUGCGGGCUCGGUGGGGAGCUUGUGUCUGUGAUUUUGUACCCCAGUCUAUCCAUCCAAGGCUGGUUUUGAGGGGUUGGUCAGGUUUUGAACCUGGCAGAGAAUGGUGGGAGACUCAGAGGACCAAAAUUGGCUGCAGGGCUCAGGCCGGGGUGGCCAAAGCUGGACUAGGUCAGGGCAGUUCUGGCGCCAAGGUUUCAAAGGGGCUCUGUUUUUCCUGGAAAUGCUCUUACCUAUAAAACAAGCCUAUGUGGGAGGAGUGGGAAGGUGUGGAUGGUGAUGUUUUCUUUUUAAAAAAAUUACAAAAAAUAACAGAGCACUUGUGUGCAUGCAGUGGGGUCCCAGUUCUGUGCAGUGUCAAGCUGCGUCACUGUUCCACUGCCUGGGCCUCAGUUUCCCCAGUCUUUGAAAAACUAUGACAGUUCUCAUUCUGCCUGCCUCACAAGUUGUGGGAGUCAUGUGAAAUGGGGUGCGAGCACGCUGUGUAAAUUAUGAAGUGCUUGCUGUAUACACAUGAGGUGCUGUCGUUUCUAUCUUGGGAAAGACCCUUUACUAUGAUACGGUGUUUUAUGGCUAAAAUGUUUAGUGAUUGUCUUGGUACUGGCACUUAACUAAGUGGCCAGGAUGUUGCUGUUGACUUUAGCUGUGUCAAAGUUCUCUGCACUGCCUCUAAGAAGUGUGCGUUCUAAGCAAGGCAAGAAAUCAGGGAAGAUAGAGAACAUCCCAGCCCCCCUGAAGACUUUGAGCCUGAUAACAAGAUGGCUCCAAUUUGGGGGACUGGAGUUUGAAGACCCUCCUGGGAUGUAUGUCUGAAAACCCUGUGCUCUUAGGGACCCAGCCUGCCUUCCAGUCUGUAUUCCCUGCCCAGCCGGGUACGUAGUCGUCUUCGGGGCCCAAUCCCAGCCUGGUCACAGCUAAAGUCAACCCUUUGGCCCUCACCCCUCCCCAGGGGGACUGGGCUCCUUCAGUUUCCAGAGAGCUUAACUACUCAGCUCCCAUUCACAACACACAUUUUUUUUUUUUUUUAAUUUCAGGGAAGGCUUCUCUGUGUCUGAGAUCUGUCCUUGUCAUCUACAACAGCUUGUGUUUCGGCUGCCAUUGGGUAUUGGCAAGUGUGUAAGGAGACAGGGUGAAACCAGAGGACUCAGGCAAGGGCCUGCCCUUCACCUGGGCCAGGUGCCCUCCAGCAAGACCUCAGAUCAGCCCCUAGGCUACAGGGGCAGCUGAACUUUAAUUGUUCCACAUGCAUGUGCCCGUGUCUGUGUGCACGCGCGCACACACACACACACACACACACUCACACUUGCACACACAUAUUUGUGCACUCACACAAGUGCAUAUUCCAGGAUAUUCUCCUCGUGGAGUGAAAUUUUAGUGCUCUAAGUAUUAAAGUUUGAGGCACCAACAGGCUGUCUUAAAAGGCUCAUUCAGCUUGUCUGCCUUGGAGCUAUUUUAUUUAUAAUUCUUCUUGUCACGUCAAAGAACUCUGUGUUUCUUGCAGACUGUGUUCGGGUGGUUGAGUGUUUUGGUUUUUGGCUACAGCUGGUUAAUUUUUCCGAAUCUGUAGGGCCAGGUGUGCAUUGACAAGCUUUUUCCCAGCUCGAGAGGUUUCCCAGUGAGCCUCGGAGUCCUGCUAUAAAUUCCCAGUGCUCUAUGUGCGGUAGACUUCCAAUUUUAGAGAGAUUUUGGGAGGGUGGGAGGGCGCCGGCAGUACCUUCGUCCAGUGCCUCCUCUGAGACACAAGGUCAAGAGCGAGGCACACUGUGGGGCAAAAGCUUGCAGCAUGUUCAGAGUAUGAGGGAGCUGAAGCUGGUUAAUGAGUAAGGUAUUAGCAAAAGUGCAAACUUCUGCUUCAAACUAAAAAUCCCUGUCUCUGCCUCUCAUUGAAAACCAAACUCAGGACUGAAAAUAUCUCAUAUCUCUGGUUAUUUUGAAAUACAAUUUAAAAUUCUGCAUUUAUCAUGUAAAAAUUAUAUAGAUGUUUAUUUCCAAGGCCAGUAUGUAUUCUUGUCUGAUAGCUUGCAUUACUACUUGUUUUGGUAAGAGAAAAUGAACUUCGAGUGCUUUUGAAAUUAGGAAUUAGACCAAGAGUUGCUCUAUAAAUAGCCAGAAACAAAACGAAAGCAUCCGUUUUCUUCUUUGGUAUCUUCCUUUGGAAGCAUUAAAUAGUAUCUUUUCUUGCAGUGGUAAAUGUUGUUAAAAUAUUUUUGUACUUUUUGUAGAAAGGGCAUAUGUGAAAAAUUAGACCUUAACCUUGAAGGUGACCAUAUUAAAAAACUGGGAUACAUAGAUAUAGGAAAAUGAAACUGUCUUUCUGUAGGAAGUUACUCCUUUGUGUUGUGCAAAAUCAUACUGGAUUUUACAAGAAUCCAAUAAGAGCAUUUCGAUAAAUAUGACCAGUGUGUUCACAUUUCAAGCAAUUUGUAAUUGGCAGCCCUCCCCCCUCCUCAAAAUGCCACGUUCAGCCUGCGUUCCUUCUGCGGGCAGCUAAGUGCUGUCGCAAUCCUUUUAAAGAAGCAAUCCGUGAAGUCUUGAUUUGAAAAAAAAAAAAAUCCUGCAAUCCCUUGCAAUUUAACAAUGAGCCAUUUUGAGUUUUAAAUCAGCUUUUUCCUCUCCCUGUCUUUUUUUUUCCUUUAUUCUAGAGGCUUCUAAUUUAACCAGCCCACUGAAGAACUCUGUAUCUAAGAAAUACUAGUAAACUUCUCUCAUUUCAGCUACGGGGAAAAGAAAUUUCAACUGACUUUCAUUAGCAUUUCAGCAUUAUUUAAAAAUUUGAAGCAUAAACAUAAAUAUUUGAGACAGUUUUUAAAGUUUAAAAUUACACAGCUCAAUUCUGCCUAGAUGUGAUUCAAAAGAACUUUUGAUCAUUAAAGUAAUAACAAUUUAAGACCCCAGGAAAGGAUGGAGAAAGUGCAAAAACACUUCCAACAAUUCGGGCUUCUUGGCUGUAAAAGGAAAGAAGACUUUGGAUUUUGGGGGAGUAAAAUUCUUUCCAAUUUUUCUGAUGUACUUUCAUUUUCUUGGAAAUUGGUACUUCCUACCAGAAACUAUAAAACUCCAAAUUCUAAUAUAUGUUAAGUUGCUAAUAAAAUGCUAAAAUUAACACAAUCAAUUCUUUAGAAAAAUGAUAUUUUCCCAGUUUAUGAUGAUUCCAUUUUAGAAUAGAAUCAUUCUAAAACGAUUCCACUUCUCUUUGAAAGGUGAUUUUUAUUAUUUUUUUUUUAAUUUUAGUUUGUACUGUACCUUCUCUUGCUUCUUACAUAAAGCCAAGAAUCUUGUUUUGGCAUAGGAUGCAUGCAUAGAUAAUCAGAUUUGCUCCAUCAUCUUUUUGUGCUGUUACUACUUUGGCAGGGAAAAUAUUAAUUUUCGUUGCUCAUCUAUACAAAAGCAAAUUCUCCCUACUGGUGUGUGUCUAUUCCAAACAAUAUAUUAAUGUAUCUACAUUUGGUUAAACACACAUUAAUCAUAGAUUCCUUGUGGUUUUAAGCUUUCCUUUAUUAGAGAAAUGAUACUAACCCCUUAAGAAUGCCUUUGGGGUUUUAGACUUCUUUUCAAGUUGGGGGCACUGGUGACACUUUGUGGGUAGCAAACGUGUGAACUUCCCAAGUGGGUUGAAGUCCAUGGUGCCAGGCUCCUAGCAGCUUGCUAACCAGCCAGCAGCAUGGAAUGGGGUCAGCACCCAGCAGCCCCGAGAGCAGAGGACAUGAUGCUUGGUGUGGCCAGCUGCAGACAGCUUCUGGGUGUUCUCUGUAUUUCAGGAAAGAAGAAGGGGAGAUGGUGUCCUCAGACACCAUUGUCCUGCAGCCAGGCUGCGUUACUGUUGGUGGUAAAUCAACACCAAAUGUGACCUACACGGGGGACUGCAGCAAAAGAUUGUGAAAAGCCUUCAUUAUGUCUGGAAGGAGGAGAGUGCCUUCUGUGGCAGUUUGCUCCAUCCUGUCCCUGUCUAGACCACAUCAGCUCUCAGCAGCUUCUGCUGUCUUACAUCUAUGGAAAUCAGGAGUUUUUUGUUCUCUCCUUCCUCAACUUUCUCUGUAAGAAAUCAUACCUGUGUGCGGCUACGUAUUUCUGAUAAUAUGUAUAUACUCACACAUAUUUACCCAAAGGAAAGGGAUGCUAUAGGUUUUGUGCGUGAGUGAGAGUAAAGCCUUCACAAAGUAGCAGCACAAGUUACCCCGAGCCAGGCGUAUUAAAAUGGACUCUCCAAUCUGCAAACUCCUCUGAGACAAAGGCGAAAGAAAGAAAACAGAAGCCUGGUUUGCCUUUUUACGGAAUAACCAAAGCUGCUUAGUAGCAACUCUGAAGGUGCAUUGUCAGGGCUGAUCCAAGUGGCAUCUUACUUCGGCAGAUUUGCGAUCCCAGGUUUAUCGGGCCAGCUUUGGACACAUCACAGUUCUUGACGUGCAAACUGAAGGAUCAGAACCCGAGUGGGUUUCACUCACAUGUAUCUGCUUGCUUUGACUAGAUUAAAUGCAUCUGCUUACUAAGUCCUCGUGAUUUCUUGGGUCCUGGAAAUUUAACACUAUUAAAUGUCGCUAUGAGGAGAGAAGAGAAUUGAAACUGAAGCCCACCCCCAGCCUUCUGAGGCUGGACCGCUGGCCAAGGGCAAAGGAGAGAGAGCCAGGGCUCAAGGGUAUGGCAGGAAGUUGCCGGCCGCAUUCCCAUUAGGCAGAUCUUGGGAGAAAUCAGGAAAAAAUAACUGUAUAAGGCUGAUACUAUAAACAUCCUGGUACAGCGACAGGCUUCCUAGGACUUAUUUUCAAACAUCUGACCUCAGGCAUGGUUGUGGCCUAAAGGGACAAGCCAAGUUUUUCUUCCAGGAAAAUUGUCCAGCAUAAUGCUCAUCAGCAAUGUAAAUUUUCCAUCUUCCCUUUUUGAGUCUUUGAGCUCACUUUAAAAAUAUUUUUUACUUUGAAUAAUAUGUGAUGGCAAGUAGUGAGGGGGGGGAAAGCGUCCAACUGAAUAAUACCAGUGGAAUUACCUGAGCGCUAUUAUUUUCCUAGAAUUAAGCAGAAUUUGUUUUCUGAAUUUGCAACCAAAUUGUGUGUAAAUCCUUGCCAAGUACGGGAGAGUUUUAAAAAAGUGGGUGUUCUUGAAUAUUCUUCUGACUCACUUGAUUUCUUGUUUUAUCAAAUAAAAAUUGGAAGGAGGGAAAAUACAUUAAAUUAACUUAUUACUGUGUGAGAGCAAGAAAAAAAUGGCCAAUAAAAAGAAGGUGAGCAAGCUGGUGUGAUUAUACAACGAUUUCAGGUGAAAAUUACAAAGCUAAUAUCCUGGCAUCUACUGCAUUCAGUAAUGAUACCGUUGUCAAAUUUGUAUUUGUGCCAAUGGAACAAAGUUGUAAGUGGCGUAAUGGAAGAUAAUCUCUUUUUCUUUGUGGCUUUUUAAAAUUCAGUGUUUUAAUCCACUAUUUAAUUCAUGUUUUAAUCACAAAACGUAUAUCACGUUAGUUGUAAUAUUUAUAGUGUUUGGAAAAGUGAUUAUAAAUAGAUUAUGGUGUGGUUGUUGGAUACAGUCUUUUAUUUCUUCACGAUUAUAUCUCAAAGGUAUGCAGCAUUUUCAGAAUUUGUGCCUGAGAAGAGUUUUACAUGGGAAGUCUCCAUAUAUUUAGUUCAGAACCCCCAUUUGUUUGGUCGUUCUGAGCUUGCUCAUUAGGUUAGAAAAGUGAGAUUCGGCAUUAAAAGGGCCUGGUGCUUAUACUGCUAUGAUCCCUGCCCUCGGCCCUGUCCCUACGCAGUUUGUUCUGCUGGAGCUUCUGAACUUACUAAACCUCAAGAUGUCUUUCAUGUUUUGGAAGUGGUUGAACCGUGCAGUAAGGAGGGGCACAGGAGAAGCUGGUAAUGGCAGUUGGUGGCUGAGCUUGUCCCUGGUGUGGGUGGAGCAGAAGGGGGCUCACACAGGGAUCCGAGUAGCUUUUGGGGACUGCCAGUGCAGUCACCCUGGGUGGAUGUAAUGCUCCUUUCCCACACUUCCUGGUUGGGAACUCUGACAGUGAAGACUUUAUAAAGGACGGUGCUAGACAAGACUGAUUCUCCCUGUCCUUCUGUCAGAGGCAUGGCCUUCCUGAGCUCAGGCUGUCUUCUGAGGAAGGGGCACAGGGCUCCAGGGCUCCUGGCCCUGGGUCCCACAGCUCUUGAGGCAGAGGCCACAAUGCACCCUCUGCAGGAAAGAGUGAAAUGGCUCCUGCUUGGGCCGAAUCUUUACUGCUGCUGGCAGCCAUGGAAAGUGAAAGUUGGUAAAAAUUCCAGUGAAAACGUGGGCUGGAAAUGUUUCGGCUCUGUUUUCUAAACCCUAGUUUUCUGAUAGGGAAAAAGCAAGCUAACCCUAGUAAAAAGAAGUAAGAUUCCACACCCCAGACUCCCAGGAAAGCAACUGGGAAGAUUUCUUAGCAUAUCCUGGAUUCCCGCCCCCCCCCAUUCUGUGUCAUGGGUUGUGGUGAUGAUGCUGGUGUGUAGUGUCCAGCACUAGCCAAGGCCAUGGGGUCCACCGAGUUUGGACAGCCCCGGGUCCUCACAGUGCUGUCUAGCCAAGCCUUAACUAAGUGGCCAGUUUUCCCCUCCUGGGCAAUCCAAUCCAACGUGGAGUGGAGUUUCCUGGGCAGCUGGGCAUGCAAGGAACUUUUGAAUUUACCAAUGGCAUAAAAAUAUAUAUUUUUAUGACAACGGGCAAGUUUCAAUUGGUUGACAGAAAUGGCGAGAUGUGACGUCAAGGGACACUGGUUAGAAUGCCAAGGCCAGGGGGGGUAGUAGGGGGGAGACAGGCACAGAGAGUGGGAUGGGGCCCCGAGGCCAUGUUUCUCUCGGGCCCUGGCCAUCAACGGGGCCAUCGCUGGCGUUCAGGAAGAGCUAGGUCGGCGUGGCUCUGAGCCAGAGCAUACCCAGGCAGGGGGAAGGGGUCUGAGUGUAGCGACUGUGUGCUGACGGGUGUUCCCCAGGGCCAGAGUCCCAGGCCUGCGCCUCUGCAGUUUGCGGACGGCUCGGACGCCCCUGCAAAGCCGGCGGGGAAAGACGCUGCAGACUCCUUGACAUCCUAACCAGUGUCCAGGCCAUGGAGCCCAGGCGUUCCCCUUCCCCUGAAGGAGCCCAGGAAAGAACAGUGUGGCCUGGAGCCAGCAGUGUCGCCGUCGGGCUGAGAGCAAAGCUGCGGCCUUGAACUUCUCCCCGCAGUUUCUGCGCCCUGAGUCAGGGAAGCAGGAAGUUGUUUCCACAGGGAAGGAAGAGGGCGAGUUCCGAGCUGGGCAGUGGCUCUGGGCACUGUGCCCCGGCCCAUUCCAUGCCUCCCUAGGCACCGUGAGCGCCCCCCAACUUUGCCAGGCACCUCGCGCGACCCCCUUACAUCUCCGGCAUAGUGCGCUGUCCUCCCACUCCCGCUCGCGGGAUCCGCUCCACCACAGCCCAAAGGGUACCGCGCCCCUUGCUCCGCGGGGCCGGUGGUGUCCGGGAAGAGGCUGCUGGGCGCCCGUGCGCGCGACCUGCCCUGGGGAAAGCCACUGCCACUGUCGGCCACGAGUACUGUCCUAGUGCCUGGUCUAGAGCUCCAAGAUACACAAUGGUCCCACUGAAAUAAGCCAGGAGACCCUCGCGCUGCCCGCAGCGCGCACAGGGCUGCGGGCAGGCCGCGACUGUCGGUCCGCGGAGGGUCCCGGAGCCGGGCCCGAGCGUGCGCGCGCGUCCCGCUGCCCGCAAUCAUGGCAGCCGGCGCCUUGGAGCGCAGCCGCCGAGCGCGCCCCGGCAGCCGCUUCGGUGCCAGGGAGGUGGGGGCGGGCCGGCCCGGGAGCUUGCGCCUGCCUGCCCGCCUCGGUCGCGCGGGCCCCAGGUCGCGAAGCAAAAGGCUAGUGGGUCCCCGCGGCGUGGCGCCCCUGCUCGGGCG
This 9707-nucleotide long non-coding RNA is filed under the name Marmota monax (woodchuck). The record is from RNAcentral. Lineage: Eukaryota; Metazoa; Chordata; Mammalia; Rodentia; Sciuridae.